AGCUCUCCAGCCGCGUCAGAACUCGCAUCGGGACGCCGGCGGAGCGGCGAGCCGCGAACCUCGCUCUGGUCAGCCGCAGUUGCUGUGUGGGCUUUCGCGCUCCUCGCUGGCCCGGGACCGGACGGCUACCUCACGACGCCCCCGGAGCCCAGCGGCGCCCGCCCGAACCCAGGGUUUUCCAAGCCCGCUUCGGCAGAUCUGCGAGGACGAGCCGCCCCGACUCCUGCGCCGCCCUCCCUGCCUCGGAACACAGCCCGACAGGCCGCCGCGAAUCCUGCCGCCAAGUCGCGCCUCGCGAAGCCGAACUUACCAGGGAGGAAACAGCGGCUCGGCGGCCAUCUUAGAACCCCGCCAACAUCGUGUCUUCUGAUUGGCUCGGGCGGAUCAGCCAAUCGGCUGCGGCCGUUCUGGCUCUAUGGUCGCCCAGGGAACAGCCUGGCUUGCCUAAACGCCUCUGCUAAGAGGAGCCUGUUGAGGUUUUGUUUUUGUUUUUUGUUUGUUUGUUUGUUUGUUUGUUUGUUUGUUUGUUUUUCUCCUUUUCCUCACUUUAACCAAGCGAUUUUUUUUUAAAGUUUUGUCCUUUCCUCGCUCCUUUCCUGUGCUGGUGAACUUGGCUAAAGAAAAUGCUGACUUCGAUGCCCACCUGAGUUCAAUGGAGAACUGUAGAUGAUCUCUUCAAGGAAGGCUUUGCUUCCUUCGCUUCCUCGCCACCCCUCUCCCCAGCCUUUCCUAUCUUUUUGCGUAUAUUUGAGUGUCCACUGUGUUCCAGGCCUCAUGCAAUUCUCAACCGGAUUCCAGUUCUCCAGGGACUUUCCAGUCUGGUUGACCGAAUCAAAUCCAGCUAAGCACCCCCUACUCAGAAGUUGAUUUACCAGGCUGGCAUAGUGUAUAGGUCCUGAUGAGGGGUUUACCGGCGUGUAAAUGAGGAAAAGAGCAGAAAUUUUCACCAUGUGAAAACAGUAAAUCCAGGCGAUGAUACGGGGAUGAAGUAGGACCACUUCAGAAAUGCUUCCAUUUUCUGAAGUACUGUUCUGUACUCAGAUUAUGUUUCUAUUUUCUUGUGAUGGUUAUAUAAGAAACUACAGGGCUGAGAGAUAGCUCAGUAAGAACCUAAGUUCAUUCCACCCUCAGAAUCCGUAUUUUAAAAGCCAGGCAUGGCAGCCAGCACUGUGGAUGCAGACAGGCAGACUAGCCUACGAGGCAAGCUCUAGGCCAGUGACCACAAAAGACAGGUGGGCAACCCCUAAGGAACUACACUUUCGAGUUGUCUUCUGACCUAAUGCACAUGCAUUAGAACACAUAUAUGGCACAUGCACAUACAAAAUACAAAGCCUUGAACAAGUUU
RNAcentral lists this long non-coding RNA (1345 nucleotides) under Mus musculus (house mouse). Its description in RNAcentral is "long non-coding RNA chr19:60226333-60227678". The record is from RNAcentral. Lineage: Eukaryota; Metazoa; Chordata; Mammalia; Rodentia; Muridae.